GACGAACGCUGGCGGCGUGCUUAACACAUGCAAGUCGAACGGAAAGGCCUCUUUCGGGGGGUACUCGAGUGGCGAACGGGUGAGUAACACGUGAGUAACCUGCCCUUGACUUUGGGAUAAUUUCAGGAAACUGGGGCUAAUACCGGAUAGGAGCUCCUGCUGCAUGGUGGGGGUUGGAAAGUUUCGGCGGUUGGGGAUGGACUCGCGGCUUAUCAGCUUGUUGGUGGGGUAGUGGCUUACCAAGGCUUUGACGGGUAGCCGGCCUGAGAGGGUGACCGGCCACAUUGGGACUGAGAUACGGCCCAGACUCCUACGGGAGGCAGCAGUGGGGAAUAUUGCACAAUGGGUGGAAGCCUGAUGCAGCAACGCCGUGGGCGGGAUGACGGCCUUCGGGUUGUAAACCGCUUUCGCUCAUGACGAAGCUUUGUGUGACGGUAGUGGGUAAAGAAGCACCGGCUAACUACGUG
Molecule: ribosomal RNA, 467 nt
Filed under: uncultured bacterium
Lineage: Bacteria
Description: partial 16S ribosomal RNA
Rfam family: Bacterial small subunit ribosomal RNA
Source: RNAcentral